GGACGGGUGAGUAAUGCUUGGGAACUUGCCUUUGCGAGGGGGAUAACAGUUGGAAACGACUGCUAAUACCGCAUAAUGUCUACGGACCAAACGGGGCUUAGGCUCCGGCGCAAAGAGAGGCCCAAGUGAGAUUAGCUAGUUGGUAAGGUAAAGGCUUACCAAGGCAACGAUCUCUAGCUGUUCUGAGAGGAAGAUCAGCCACACUGGGACUGAGACACGGCCCAGACUCCUACGGGAGGCAGCAGUGGGGAAUAUUGCACAAUGGGGGAAACCCUGAGCAGCCAGCCGCGUGUGGAAGAAGGCCUUCGGGUUUAAAGCACUUCAGUGGAGGAAAAGUUAGUAGUAAACUGCAGCCGGACGUACGCCGG
Molecule: ribosomal RNA, 368 nt
Filed under: Alteromonadales sp. jakYUnkR
Lineage: Bacteria; Pseudomonadati; Pseudomonadota; Gammaproteobacteria; Alteromonadales
Description: bacterial SSU rRNA
Rfam family: Bacterial small subunit ribosomal RNA
Source: RNAcentral